This 212-nucleotide long non-coding RNA is filed under the name Elaeis guineensis (African oil palm). Its description in RNAcentral is "long non-coding RNA (EGUI_LNC023777)". Lineage: Eukaryota; Viridiplantae; Streptophyta; Magnoliopsida; Arecales; Arecaceae. The record is from RNAcentral.
CUCCAGGGGCGAACAACUGAAAUUGCUCCGGGAUGCAGUACUGCUCCCAGAGCCGAUCAACGUUCGGCCCCGAAAGUGAAAAGACCUCCACCUCCGGGGUCGAUCGAGAAUCGUCAGUUGGGUUCCCCGACCGACUUCCUCGAGGAGAUGUUCUAGCCAUUACGCCGGAACAAGGGGUCAAAGAAUGGAAGAGGAAGAAAGAGGAGGACUAC